Molecule: small RNA, 125 nt
Filed under: Marmota monax (woodchuck)
Lineage: Eukaryota; Metazoa; Chordata; Mammalia; Rodentia; Sciuridae
Source: RNAcentral
GCUGGGCGUGGUGGUGAUUACCUGUAAUCCCAGCGGCUCCGGAGGCUAAGGCAGGAGGAUCGCAAGUUCAAAGGCAGCCUCAACAAAUGCAAGGUGCUAAGCAACUCAGUGAGACCCUGUCUCUU